RNAcentral lists this ribosomal RNA (378 nucleotides) under Escherichia coli. RNAcentral's name for it is "bacterial LSU rRNA". It matches the Rfam family "Bacterial large subunit ribosomal RNA", at positions 2570 to 2925 of the family's 2925-position model. Lineage: Bacteria; Pseudomonadati; Pseudomonadota; Gammaproteobacteria; Enterobacterales; Enterobacteriaceae. The record is from RNAcentral.
GGUAUGGCUGUUCGCCAUUUAAAGUGGUACGCGAGCUGGGUUUAGAACGUCGUGAGACAGUUCGGUCCCUAUCUGCCGUGGGCGCUGGAGAACUGAGGGGGGCUGCUCCUAGUACGAGAGGACCGGAGUGGACGCAUCACUGGUGUUCGGGUUGUCAUGCCAAUGGCACUGCCCGGUAGCUAAAUGCGGAAGAGAUAAGUGCUGAAAGCAUCUAAGCACGAAACUUGCCCCGAGAUGAGUUCUCCCUGACUCCUUGAGAGUCCUGAAGGAACGUUGAAGACGACGACGUUGAUAGGCCGGGUGUGUAAGCGCAGCGAUGCGUUGAGCUAACCGGUACUAAUGAACCGUGAGGCUUAACCUUACAACGCCGAAGCUGUU